ACCUCGGUGGCUCCAAGGCGAGAGCGUCGGCCUACGGAUCCCAAUGUGGCGGGUUCGAAUCCCGGCCGAGGUG
RNAcentral lists this transfer RNA (73 nucleotides) under Ixodes scapularis (black-legged tick). It matches the Rfam family "tRNA". Rfam says of the family: Transfer RNA (tRNA) molecules are approximately 80 nucleotides in length. Their secondary structure includes four short double-helical elements and three loops (D, anti-codon, and T loops). Lineage: Eukaryota; Metazoa; Arthropoda; Arachnida; Ixodida; Ixodidae. The record is from Rfam by way of RNAcentral.